This 313-nucleotide ribosomal RNA is filed under the name uncultured eukaryote. RNAcentral describes it as "partial 18S ribosomal RNA". It matches the Rfam family "Eukaryotic small subunit ribosomal RNA", at positions 1470 to 1796 of the family's 1831-position model. The record is from RNAcentral.
CCCUUAGAUGUUCUGGGCCGCACGCGCGCUACACUGAUGCAUUCAACGAGCCUAUCCUUGACCGACAGGUCCGGGUAAUCUUUGAAUCUGCAUCGUGACGGGGAUAGAUUAUUGCAAUUAUUAAUCUUCAACGAGGAAUGCCUAGUAGGCGCAAGUCAUCAGCUUGCGUCGAUUACGUCCCUGCCCUUUGUACACACCGCCCGUCGCACCUACCGAUUGAAUGGUCCGGUGAAGCCUCCGGAUUGGCGCGCACCUCGGUGCCGCCGAGAAGUUGGCUAAACCUUACCAUUUAGAGGAAGGUGAAGUCGUAACA